Molecule: unclassified non-coding RNA, 333 nt
Filed under: Hevea brasiliensis (rubber tree)
Lineage: Eukaryota; Viridiplantae; Streptophyta; Magnoliopsida; Malpighiales; Euphorbiaceae
Source: RNAcentral
AGAAUCUCAAACUUCUCCUCCGGCAUCGUCGUCUCCCGUAUCGUCUUCCAAAUUGGUUCUUGUUGUUGGUGGAUCCGGUGGCGUUGGACAGAUAGUUGUAGCAUCAUUACUCAAUCGGAAUGUCAAACUGCGUCUUAUUCUUCGAGACCCUGAGAAAGCAACUACUCUAUUUGGCGAGCAGGACGAGGAAAAACUGCAGGUAUGGAAAGGUGACACGCGGAGUCCUACAGGCAUAGAUCCAUCUGUAUUUGAGGGUGUAACUCAUGUUAUUUGCUGCACUGGAACCACUGCUUUUCCGUCUAGGCGGUGGGAUGGAGAUAACACUCCAGAAAG